AUUGAACGCUGGCGGCAGGCUUAACACAUGCAAGUCGAGCGGGGUGAUGGUGCUUGCACUAUCACUUAGCGGCGGACGGGUGAGUAAUGCUUAGGAAUCUGCCUAUUAGUGGGGGACAACAUCUCGAAAGGGAUGCUAAUACCGCAUACGUCCUACGGGAGAAAGCAGGGGAUCACUUGUGACCUUGCGCUAAUAGAUGAGCCUAAGUCGGAUUAGCUAGUUGGUGGGGUAAAGGCCUACCAAGGCGACGAUCUGUAGCGGGUCUGAGAGGAUGAGCCGCCACACGGGGACGGAGACACAGCCCAGACCACUACGGGGGGCAGCAGUGGGGGAUAUUGGACAAGGGGGGGAACCCUGAUCCAGCCAUGCCGCGUGUGUGAAGAAGGCCUUAUGGUUGUAAAGCACUUUAAGCGAGGAGGAGGCUCUUUUGGUUAAUACCCAAGAUGAGUGGACGUUACUCGCAGAAUAAGCACCGGCUAACUCUGUGCCAGCCGCCGCGGUAA
This 503-nucleotide ribosomal RNA is filed under the name uncultured bacterium. RNAcentral describes it as "partial 16S ribosomal RNA". It matches the Rfam family "Bacterial small subunit ribosomal RNA", at positions 30 to 523 of the family's 1533-position model. The record is from RNAcentral.